GGCUCCAGGAGAUUCCAGGAAGCCGGCAGCUCAGGCUCGCACAGAGCCUCCCACGAAGGUGCACACGCAGAGGGAUGGCAUGAGGAAGGCAGAGGACAGGCUCCAUAUCCCGCCUUCUCAAAGUGUGUGAUGGAGAAGAGGCCUGUGUCCAAAACUUCAGACCAUGUCCUGGCCCUCCUUUCCAGAAGUGGAGUGUGAGCAUUCCCUACUCUGAAGCCAGGAAAUGAGGCCAAUGGCUCACCUCAUACUAUUUGUGAAGAUGAGCCUGUGAGCUGGCUGCACACCACAGACCGUGUGGCAACAGUCCCAUAGCAGGAACAUACCAAAAACUGGAGGGGAGGCAGAGGAGGGCAUUGGAAGACGACAAGAAAAUGGGGGAGAGCAGGCGGCUGGGGCUUGAGAAGGCUCUCCAGCACAACUCGACCCACCUCACGUCCACCCAGCUCCAUCAGCAUCUGCAGUUCCCGGACUCAGUAUUUCCACCUGACAAGUGGUGAGUUUUAAAACCACCUAAGUCCACAUACCAUUUAAUAAA
Manis javanica (Malayan pangolin) is the source of this 535-nucleotide long non-coding RNA. RefSeq lists it as uncharacterized. The record is from RefSeq and is a predicted model, not a curated record. NCBI's taxonomy places the organism in Eukaryota, Metazoa, Chordata, Mammalia, Pholidota, Manidae.